Long non-coding RNA from Camelus dromedarius (Arabian camel), 2016 nucleotides. RefSeq lists it as uncharacterized. The record is from RefSeq and is a predicted model, not a curated record. Lineage: Eukaryota; Metazoa; Chordata; Mammalia; Artiodactyla; Camelidae. The transcript has 2 exons.
GCCCGCCCAGCCUGGCUCCUGGUGCCCAGCUCUGCCUGGAGAGGGCCCACCGGAGACCCCCGGCCUGGAGCUAGGCGGGGGCUCAGGGCAGCGGGACUUCAUCGCGGGGACCUGAAGUUCAGUCAGGAUAGGUUUAGAUCUAACAGGAGGUGGAUGUGGACGUUCCAGGACUCAUUCACGUGGAGGAUCUUGAUGCAGGACCUCCUGCGUCCCCUCUGGGAAGGAGCCCGAAGCAGUGACGGAGGUGGAAGCGGGGGCAGGGGGCGGGGCCCAGGGCUGAGCCCGGGGUCCUCGAGGAAGGGGCAGCUCAGGUGACUGUCCCACCCCUUGGGGCUGAGGGGGGGCCAGGGGCCAGGGCCUUCAGUCCUAUCACAGGACAGCACCAGGCAACCUGCAUGGGCAGCCUCCCUGGGAGGCGGCACCGGGACUGGAGGCAGGAGCCUUGCAGUCUCCAGGCAGCGCCAGCAGCUCCCUGCAAUGGUGGCCUAGCAGAGGUGGGCCGUCCAGUCGGGCAAUCUGGUGAGCAGGGCCUGGAGGCCCGGGGUCCUGGGCGUCUUCCGUAACCUCCCUCAUCAACUGCCGUGGAAUCCAGAGCUCUGGGCUUGGCCAUUAAGGGCCAGUCCUCCGCACCCAGCUCUGCCUGCUGUGAGGGGCACCACAGCAUCCCGGCCAUGAGGUCUGCUCCUCGGUCACCUCCCAGCAAGCCCUGAGAGUGCCGUUCCUGAUGAAGUACGUACCACUAGGUGACAAAAGACGGCUUUCAAAAGCUUCAAGUCCUAUAACAAGGUGAUGCUCUUAAUUUCAGUUCUGCCACUUCCAUAGACCUUUGCUGACUCCUCCUGUUGACACAGGUUGCUCUCUCGCUUUUCAUUCAUCCACUUAUCCAACCCUACAUCCACAUAUCCACCAUCCAUGCAUCCAUCCAUCCACCCACCAUCCAUUCAUCCAACACCCCCCCGCCAUGCACACAUGCAUCUGUCCAUCCACCCAUCAUCCAUCUAAUCAUCCCCCGGCCAUGCACACGUGCAUCCGUCCAUCCACCCAUCAUCCAUCUAACCUCCCCCCCGCCAUGCACACAUGCAUCCGUCCAUCCACCCAUUAUCCAUCUAAUCACCCCCCGGCCAUGCAUGCAUUCAUCCAUCCAUCAUCCAUCCAUCAACUCUCCACCACUCAUCCAUCCAUCUGUCCAACCAUCCAGGCAUCCAUCCACCCAACUACCCACCCACCCAUCCACCCUCCAUCCAUCUGAUAAGCACAACAGAGUAUGUAUUGGGGAGACUGGUGGAUGGGAGUGCAGCCUCUGUCUUCACCAGUCCUGACUCCAUGGUUGUGCCUACUGCCUGUGGGUCCUUGGGCAGCUUCUCAACCUCUCUGAGUCUCAGUUUUCUCCUUGUGAAAAGGAAUAAAGGUACUGAAUUCCCAGGGUUGUUGUGAAGGUGCAAGGACAUAACAUAUGUAACAAACUUACUAAAGAAUAAAUCUCCACCUCCUCUUUCUUCUCUCAUCCUGGAGCCCAAGCCAACUCAGCCAGGAGACACUGAAGCAGGAAUCACAAUGAAAGAUGAGGGUUUCCACUGGGGAGGAACUGGGAGCUGUGAAAACACAGCCAGGAAGACUCAUCUGGUUGGGAGGUCAAGGGAGGAGUCCCAAGUGAACGGGCAUUGGCUGUAGGGGGAGAAGGGUGCCCUGAGGAGGAGAGCCUGGUGGAGGGACCCGAGUGAGUGGGGAGGGUGCCCAGAUGUGCUCAUGUUAUCCAGCUGAUGGGACAGCCUUGAGAAAUGUUGUAUUUAUGAAAAUUGUUCAUGGCAAUAGGUUCAUUUGCCAAGUAGCUCCCAUUGGCCAAAGCCCAGUUAAUGUUCUAAAAAACCCAAAUCUCCAAGAUGUUUUCCCCUUUUCUAGUUUUUAAUCCUCUCUUCCAUUUCUACUUGGGAUUUUUCAGAGCCUGACUGCAUUUUGGGAGGGAAAUAAAAGGAUUUAAAACUUAGACAAUAAAGCAAACCGCCUGCUAUGGUUCAA